GAUGAAGAACGUAGCGAAAUGCGAUAAGUAAUGUGAAUUGCAGAAUUCAGUGAAUCAUCGAAUCUUUGAACGCACAUUGCGCCCGCCAGUAUUCUGGCGGGCAUGCCUGUCCGAGCGUCAUUUCAACCCUCGAACCCCUCCGGGGGGUCGGCGUUGGGGAUCGGCCCUGCCUCUUGGCGGUGGCCGUCUCCGAAAUACAGUGGCGGUCUCGCCGCAGCCUCUCCUGCGCAGUAGUUUGCACACUCGCAUCGGGAGCGCGGCGCGUCCACAGCCGUUAAACACCCAACUUCUGAAAUGUUGACCUCGGAUCAGGUAGGAAUACCCGCUGAACUUAAGCAUAUCAAUAAGCGGAGGA
RNAcentral lists this unclassified non-coding RNA (355 nucleotides) under soil metagenome. RNAcentral describes it as "partial contains 5.8S ribosomal RNA, internal transcribed spacer 2, and large subunit ribosomal RNA". The stretch from base 1 to 120 matches the Rfam family "5.8S ribosomal RNA", at positions 35 to 154 of the family's 154-position model. The record is from RNAcentral.